This 442-nucleotide ribosomal RNA is filed under the name uncultured bacterium. Its description in RNAcentral is "partial 16S ribosomal RNA". It matches the Rfam family "Bacterial small subunit ribosomal RNA", at positions 338 to 795 of the family's 1533-position model. The record is from RNAcentral.
CCUACGGGAGGCAGCAGUGGGGAAUUUUUCACAAUGGGCGAAAGCCUGAUGGAGCAACGCCGCGUGCAGGAUGAAGGCCUUCGGGUUGUAAACUGCUUUUAUAAGCGAGAAAUAUGAUGGUAACUUAUGAAUAAGGAUCGGCUAACUACGUGCCAGCAGCCGCGGUCAUACGUAGGAUCCGAGCAUUAUCCGGAGUGACUGGGUGUAAAGAGUUGCGUAGGUGGGAUAAUAAGUAGCUAGUGAAAUCUGGUGGCUCAACCAUUCAGACUAUUAGCUAAACUGUUAAGCUCGAGACCGUUAGGGGUAACUGGAAUUUCUAGUGUAGGAGUGAAAUCCGUAGAUAUUAGAAGGAACACCAAUAGCGUAGGCAGGUUGCUGGGACGGUUCUGACACUAAGGCACGAAAGCGUAGGGAGCAAACGGGAUUAGAUACCCCGGUAGUC